CCUCCACUGCCACCUUACCUCCCUCAGGGAACAGCUCAGGUGAGGGAGCAAGCAGCCACGAGGAAAAGCAAGGGCCCCACCCCUUUCUGAGUUCAGGCCCAGGGACCUCUUGAGCAGUAAUGUGGCUGAGUUGGAGGUGUUCCUGCUGCUCGAGAACCAGAAGAAGGAACCCACACAAAAGGCAGAAAUGCUGAAGCAUAUCAUCCAACAGCAAAUGGAUCACUUCCCUGAGGUCCUCAGCAAAGCCUCUGAGAGCCUAGAGUACUCUUUGGCCUUGAGUUGAAUGAGGCGAACACAGAUGCCAGGAAGCAAUGUGACAUCCUCAUCAACAAAGUAGAACUUUCCUCUGCUGAGGGACUGAGUGAGUAAAGACUGGGGCUUGCUCCAAACUGUUAUUCUAGACCUAGUUUUCAUGGAGGGCAACUUUGCUCCUGAAGAGGACAUCUGGAAUAUGCUGAGAGAGUUGAAGAUGCUGAGGGGAAGCACAUCAUUUCUGAAAGUCCCAGAAAGCUUUUCGUUGAAGAUGUUUUGCAGCAACAAUAUCUGAAUUUGAGGCAGAUGCCCAACAGGGAUCCUAUAUGCUACAAAUUUCUGUGGGGCCCUCAUGACCACACUGAACCCAAAACCGUGUACAUUUUGGGGUUUGUGGACAAAAUUAUUCACGUUGACUUCUGGUCCUACAGUUCAGUGUGCAAAGAGGUCCUGAGAGAAAAUCAGGACAAAGUCCAAGCCAGGAUUUCAGGGAAUAGGGGUACUAAUGCCAUGGAGUGUGCAGGGGUCAGGGCCAUUGCCAGUUGUACAACUGGUGCCAGUG
Molecule: long non-coding RNA, 814 nt
Filed under: Homo sapiens (human)
Lineage: Eukaryota; Metazoa; Chordata; Mammalia; Primates; Hominidae
Description: non-protein coding lnc-NUDT10-1:1
Source: RNAcentral